AACGAACGCUGGCGGCAUGCCUAACACAUGCAAGUCGAACGACACCUCCGGGUCUAGUGGCGCACAGGUGCGUCAAGCGUGGGAACGUGCCCUUAGGCUCGGAAUAACUCUCCGACAGGGGUGCUAAUACCGGAUAACUUCCUCUGACCCAAGAUAUGACGCCUUUGGAUGGGCCCGCGUUGUUUUAGCCAGUUGGUAGGGUAAAAGCCGAUCAAGGCGAGGAUCGAUAGCUGGGCUGAGAGGAUGGUCCGCCACACUGGGAGGGAGACACGGCCGAGAAUACUGCGCAAGGGGGGAGUGGCGGAUAUUGGACAAUCGGGGAAGGGCUGAUCCAGCACUGGCGCGAGAGUGAUGAAGGCGUUAGAGUUGUAAAGCUCUUUUACCCGGGAUGGUAAUGACAGUACCGGGAGAAUAAGCUCCGGCUAACUCCGUG
This 433-nucleotide ribosomal RNA is filed under the name uncultured bacterium. Its description in RNAcentral is "partial 16S ribosomal RNA". It matches the Rfam family "Bacterial small subunit ribosomal RNA", at positions 29 to 507 of the family's 1533-position model. The record is from RNAcentral.